AGUCGAACGAUGAUGCCCAGCUUGCUGGGCGGAUUAGUGGCGAACGGGUGAGUAAUACGUGAGUAACCUGCCCUUGACUCUGGGAUAAGCCUGGGAAACUGGGUCUAAUACUGGAUACUACCUCUUACCGCAUGGUGGGUGGUGGAAAGGGUUUUACUGGUUUUGGAUGGGCUCACGGCCUAUCAGCUUGUUGGUGGGGUAAUGGCUCACCAAGGCGACGACGGGUAGCCGGCCUGAGAGGGUGACCGGCCACACUGGGACUGAGACACGGCCCAGACUCCUACGGGAGGCAGCAGUGGGGAAUAUUGCACAAUGGGCGGAAGCCUGAUGCAGCGACGCCGCGUGAGGGAUGACGGCCUUCGGGUUGUAAACCUCUUUCAGUAGGGAAGAAGCGAGAGUGACGGUACCUGCAGAAGAAGCGCCGGCUAACUACGUGCCAGCAGCCGCGGUAAUACGUAGGGCGCAAGCGUUGUCCGGAAUUAUUGGGCGUAAAGAGCUCGUAGGCGGUUUGUCGCGUCUGCUGUGAAAGCCCGGGGCUCAACCCCGGGUCUGCAGUGGGUACGGGCAGACUAGAGUGCAGUAGGGGAGACUGGAAUUCCUGGUGUAGCGGUGAAAUGCGCAGAUAUCAGGAGGAACACCGAUGGCGAAGGCAGGUCUCUGGGCUGUUACUGACGCUGAGGAGCGAAAGCAUGGGGAGCGAACAGGAUUAGAUACCCUGGUAGUCCAUGCCGUAAACGUUGGGCACUAGGUGUGGGGGACAUUCCACGUUUUCCGCGCCGUAGCUAACGCAUUAAGUGCCCCGCCUGGGGAGUACGGCCGCAAGGCUAAAACUCAAAGGAAUUGACGGGGGCCCGCACAAGCGGCGGAGCAUGCGGAUUAAUUCGAUGCAACGCGAAGAACCUUACCAAGGCUUGACAUUCACCGGACCGCCCCAGAGAUGGGGUUUCCCUUCGGGGCUGGUGGACAGGUGGUGCAUGGUUGUCGUCAGCUCGUGUCGUGAGAUGUUGGGUUAAGUCCCGCAACGAGCGCAACCCUCGUUCUAUGUUGCCAGCACGUGAUGGUGGGGACUCAUAGGAGACUGCCGGGGUCAACUCGGAGGAAGGUGGGGAUGACGUCAAAUCAUCAUGCCCCUUAUGUCUUGGGCUUCACGCAUGCUACAAUGGCCGGUACAAAGGGUUGCGAUACUGUGAGGUGGAGCUAAUCCCAAAAAGCCGGUCUCAGUUCGGAUUGAGGUCUGCAACUCGACCUCAUGAAGUCGGAGUCGCUAGUAAUCGCAGAUCAGCAACGCUGCGGUGAAUACGUUCCCGGGCCUUGUACACACCGCCCGUCAAGUCACGAAAGUUGGUAACACCCGAAGCCGGUGGCCUAACCCCUUGUGGGAGGGAGCC
This 1388-nucleotide ribosomal RNA is filed under the name Kocuria sp. MDT2-35. Its description in RNAcentral is "bacterial SSU rRNA". It matches the Rfam family "Bacterial small subunit ribosomal RNA". Lineage: Bacteria; Bacillati; Actinomycetota; Actinomycetes; Micrococcales; Micrococcaceae. The record is from RNAcentral.